CAGUAGCCGCGGUAAUACGUAGGUGGCAAGCGUUGUCCGGAAUUAUUGGGCGUAAAGGGCUCGCAGGCGGUUUCUUAAGUCUGAUGUGAAAGCCCCCGGCUCAACCGGGGAGGGUCAUUGGAAACUGGGAAACCUGAGUGCAGAAGAGGAGAGUGGAAUUCCACGUGUAGCGGUGAAAUGCGUAGAGAUGUGGAGGAACACCAGUGGCGAAGGCGACUCUCUGGUCUGUAACUGACGCUGAGGAGCGAAAGCGUGGGGAGCGAACAGGAUUAGAUACCCCAGUAGUCCCUGUCUCUUAUAC
Molecule: ribosomal RNA, 301 nt
Filed under: uncultured bacterium
Lineage: Bacteria
Description: partial 16S ribosomal RNA
Rfam family: Bacterial small subunit ribosomal RNA
Source: RNAcentral